GUCCAGACUCCUACGGGAGGCAGCAGUGGGGGAUAUUGCACAAUGGGGGAAACCCUGAUGCAGCGACGCCGCGUGAGUGAGGAAGUAUUUCGGUAUGUAAAGCUCUAUCAGCAGGGAAGAAAAUGACAGUACCUGACCAAGAAGCCCCGGCUAACUACGUGCCAGCAGCCGCGGUAAUACGUAGGGGGCAAGCGUUAUCCGGAUUUACUGGGUGUAAAGGGAGCGUAGACGGCGAUACAAGUCUGAAGUGAAAGCCCGGGGCUCAACCCCGGGACUGCUUUGGAAACUGUGUUGCUGGAGUGCUGGAGAGGCAAGCGGAAUUCCUAGUGUAGCGGUGAAAUGCGUAGAUAUUAGGAGGAACACCAGUGGCGAAGGCGGCUUACUGGACUGUAACUGACGUUGAGGCUCGAAAGCGUGGGGAGCAAACAGGAUUAGAUACCCCGGUAA
Molecule: ribosomal RNA, 447 nt
Filed under: uncultured bacterium
Lineage: Bacteria
Description: bacterial SSU rRNA
Rfam family: Bacterial small subunit ribosomal RNA
Source: RNAcentral